Molecule: non-coding RNA, 540 nt
Organism: Odobenus rosmarus divergens (Pacific walrus)
Lineage: Eukaryota; Metazoa; Chordata; Mammalia; Carnivora; Odobenidae
Source: the annotation of a RefSeq genome assembly
CACAGACUACUCACCAUGGAGUUCUUGCCUGACUGGGUUUUCCUUGUUGCUCUUUUUUCAGGUGUCCAGUGUGAGGUGCAGCUGGUGGAGUCUGGGGGAGACCUGGUGAAGCCUGGGGGGUCCCUGAGACUCUCCUGUGCAGCCUCUGGAUUCACCUUCAGUAGUAACGACAUGAGCUGGGUCCAUCAGGCUCCAGGGAAGGGGCUAAAGUGGGUCGCAUGGAUUAGCUAUACUGGUGGUAGCUCAUACUAUGCAGACUCUGUGAAGGGCCAAUUCACCAUCUCCAGAGACAAUGGCAAGAAUACACUGUAUCUGCAGAUGAACAGCCUAAGAGCCAAGGACACCACCAUGUAUUACUGUGGGAAAGGCACAGUGUGGGGAAGUCAGUGUGAGCCCAGACACAAAUUUCAACAUUGUAGGGGAUCUGGACCACCAGGGACUGCACACUACUCACCAAUUCUGUCUUUAAGCCCCAGGAGCAGAUGCAGAUGGAGGUUAUGGGCAGGUUUCCUGUCAGGUUCUGGGACUUCCUCUCCAUAA